Molecule: ribosomal RNA, 391 nt
Filed under: Chrysophyceae sp.
Lineage: Eukaryota; Chrysophyceae
Description: partial small subunit ribosomal RNA
Rfam family: Eukaryotic small subunit ribosomal RNA
Source: RNAcentral
AUUCCAGCUCCAAUAGCGUAUACUAAAGUUGUUGCAGUUAAAAAGCUCGUAGUUGGAUUUCUAAUCUCUCUUGGGGUUCCUUUUCUAAAGAAAUGUGCGACCAUUCAAGAGAGAUUAUCCUCGUGCCUAGCCUUUCUCACUUUCAUUAGUCAGGAAGGGGACGCACGUCAUUUACUGUGAGCAAAAUAGAGUGUUCAAAGCAGGCUUAGGCCAUGAAUAUAUUAGCAUGGAAUAAUAAGAUAGGACCUUGGUCUAUUUUGUUGGUUUACAUUCCAAGGUAAUGAUUAAUAGGGAUAGUUGGGGGUAUUCGUAUUCAAUUGUCAGAGGUGAAAUUCUUGGGUUUAUGGAAGACGAACUACUGCGAAAGCAUUUACCAAGGAUGUUUUCAUCA